RNAcentral lists this transfer RNA (76 nucleotides) under Asterionella formosa. Its description in RNAcentral is "tRNA-Met". It matches the Rfam family "tRNA". Rfam says of the family: Transfer RNA (tRNA) molecules are approximately 80 nucleotides in length. Their secondary structure includes four short double-helical elements and three loops (D, anti-codon, and T loops). Further hydrogen bonds mediate the characteristic L-shaped molecular structure. tRNAs have two regions of fundamental functional importance: the anti-codon, which is responsible for specific mRNA codon recognition, and the 3' end, to which the tRNAs corresponding amino acid is attached (by aminoacyl-tRNA synthetases). tRNAs cope with the degeneracy of the genetic code in two manners: having more than one tRNA (with a specific anti-codon) for a particular amino acid; and 'wobble' base-pairing, i.e. permitting non-standard base-pairing at the 3rd anti-codon position. The record is from RNAcentral. Lineage: Eukaryota; Bacillariophyta; Fragilariophyceae; Tabellariales; Tabellariaceae.
GUGAGAGUGGAGUAAUUGGUUUAACUCUUUAGGUUCAUAACCUGAAAUUUUGCAAGUUCGAAUCUUGUCUUUCACA